This 207-nucleotide long non-coding RNA is filed under the name Phoenix dactylifera (date palm). Its description in RNAcentral is "long non-coding RNA (PDAC_LNC000362)". The record is from RNAcentral. Lineage: Eukaryota; Viridiplantae; Streptophyta; Magnoliopsida; Arecales; Arecaceae.
GGAGGUUUGGAUUCUCUUUCUGCUUCUUGUUACAUGAUGUUUCCAUAAGUAUUUUCAUUUCUUUGAAGAGACUGCAGUAAUUUGACAAUUAUUCUCCUGGAAAAAUUUUCUUGGUUUAGGUGUCUGGAAUUGAUAAAGUUCUGGCCCUAGCCUUGUUUUAUUUUCAGUCAGGUUUCCUCCUGCCCUAAUUCUUAAAAGAGAAAAAAA